GUCUGGUCGUCCUGGAUGCAAGAAUAAGGUUAGAGAGGUUGAGUUAAUGUUUGAGGCAUCAUUCAUUACAUGCUCCAGAACACAGAUUCUUACCUUGCAAUCUGAGGACUUUUCAACUACAAGGUAUGGCCUACAACCUUCCUUUCUGUACGAUCUGGGCAAACCGACCGGUGGUGGCAAGAGUAGUGUCAAUGAAGCGAUCCACACAGCUCGAGAGGCAGUUUUCAGUGCGGGAGUCUAGCUGAUUUCCUGGCUUCUCCAUGCUCUUAUCUCAACGUAGUUCCACGAAGUGAUGCACCUGCGCAGUGAACCCUGCCUUCUGCUGCUCGAUGGCCACCAGGCGUUGUAACUCAGUUUCACCAAGCUCUGCCAUUAUCAGCGUCAGGCGCUUCGCUGUGGUACUCAUGCGUGGUCCUGAAAGCAACUUUUGCACAGUAUCAUCAACUCUAAGAUCCUCAAGGGCUUCUAUCAAUGAUGAGACACAUCUGCAGAAACUCAUAUACCUUCCAUAGGAUCACAUGUCCUUGUCUAAGGGUGAACACACAGAACAUUGUUCAAGCAAACCAUACCAAUCCUGACCAGAGAGAACAGAGACAAACUGACUCACAGGAGAGAGGACCCAAGUACUUUAAUACAUUUUUUGAAAUUAUUAUAAAUUAUUUUACAAUAUCCAGAGCAAAUGAAACUAAUUAAAAUAUUUUGUAAUACACAUGUCCCCAGAAAUAUUUGUGAAGUUAAAAAUAAAAGAAAAAAAUG
Molecule: long non-coding RNA, 756 nt
Filed under: Mus caroli (Ryukyu mouse)
Lineage: Eukaryota; Metazoa; Chordata; Mammalia; Rodentia; Muridae
Description: lncRNA (MGP_CAROLIEiJ_G0003632.1)
Source: RNAcentral